UCGAUUAGAGUUUGAUCCUGGCUCAGAACGAACGCUGGCGGCGUGCUUAACACAUGCAAGUCGCGUGCGCAGUUUCCGUAGCAAUACGGGGAUCGGCGCACGGCGCACGGGUGCGUAACACGUGGGCAAUCUGCCCUCCGAUGGGGAAUACCCCCGCGAAAGCGGGACUAAUUCCGCAUAACAUUCCUUGGAUUAAUUUUCGAGGAUUCAAAGCAGCAAUGCGUCGGAGGAGGAGCCCGCGCCCGAUUAGCUAGUUGGUGAGGUAACGGCUCACCAAGGCAAUGAUCGGUAGCUGGUCUGAGAGGAUGGCCAGCCACACUGGAACUGAGACACGGUCCAGACUCCUACGGGAGGCAGCAGUGGGGAAUCUUGCACAAUGGGCGAAAGCCUGAUGCAGCGACGCCGCGUGGGGGAUGAAGCUUCUCGGAGUGUAAACCCCUUUCGACUGGGACGAAUGCCUCGCAAGAGGAGUGACGGUACCAGUAUAAGAAGCCCCGGCUAACUACGUGCCAGCAGCCGCGGUAAGACGUAGGGGGCCAGCGUUGUUCGGAAUUACUGGGUGUAAAGGGUUCGUAGGCGGUGUGGCAAGUCGGGAGUGAAAUCUCUGGGCUCAACCCAGAGACUGCUUCCGAAACUGCUGUGCUUGAGUGUG
RNAcentral lists this ribosomal RNA (652 nucleotides) under uncultured bacterium. Its description in RNAcentral is "bacterial SSU rRNA". It matches the Rfam family "Bacterial small subunit ribosomal RNA", at positions 1 to 650 of the family's 1533-position model. The record is from RNAcentral.